CGGACUCUGGGAGGACUCAUGCCAAGUACUUCCCAGAACUUCUGCUGCCAGUGUCCUCAUCCCUGCAGUGAGCCACAGCCACCUUCGCCUCUGCAGGAGACCCACCAAAACUAGCAGGACCUAGCCCAGUGCCUGGCACGGAGUGGACACUCAAUCAUCUUUCCAGAAGGAUGACAUGAGAGCAGAGCGCGAGGCAUUAAUCAACAGCAGGCAUCAGCUACCCUGACAGAAGAUCAGCUGUUCCAGCAGCAACAGUUCUAACCUCUGUUGAAGACCAAUAUCAAAAGAGAAACCAUACCUUAGAGAAGCAGUUCUUUUCAUUUAACAAUCCAUCUAUCAAUCCAUCUAUCAUCCAUUCACUGAUAGGAACCAGUCCUUUGUGUGCUUCCUUGCCUCAGGGAUUUUUGCAGGACGGAAGGCAGACGCCCCUGAAAAGUCUGUAGUUCUUCUUGUGUUGUUGCAAAGGCCUAUGGCCACUGAAGAAAUAACAAGUGCUCCAGACUCUAAGGAAGAGGGAUGAGGCUUUGGAGGACAGAGAGUCAGAGAGAGAAGCUCUUCAUCUUAAGGAGGUAGAGGAACAAGACUGCAGGCUCUGCAGAGGAGGUGGCAUCUGGAUGAUGGAGAAGUUUAUGGAUCCUCAUGGAGCAGGGGGAGGAACGUGUAACUCGCAGGUUGUCUUCCUCUGCAGGCUCCUGCUGUUCUGCAGCUGAGAAUCUAUUGUUUGCUACUCCUGCUAUUUCAUUCCUCAGCAUCUUAUCAGGCUCCCAAGAAUGUCCUGGACAAGUCAAGGAACAGGGCGAGCCUUAUUCAUUUCUAGUUUAAGAAAUGACUGAGAUGGUGUCUGAGUUAUAUCUGGUUCUGUUUCUACCACGGGUGAACUGGACAUCGUAGAAAGACACAGCUAGAUGAUCAAGCACAGUAUCUUUUUUUAAAAUUAAUUUUUAUUGGAGUAUGGUUGCUUUACAAUGUUGUGUUAGUUUCUACUGUACAGCAAAAUGAAUCAGCCAUAUAUGUACACAUAUCUCCUCCCCUUUGGACUUCCCAUUCAGGUCACUACAGUACAUUGAGUAGAGUUCUCAUUCGUUAUCUAUUUUAUACACAGUAUCAGUAAUGUAUAUGCAAGCACACUAUCUAAUAGCUAAAACAAUCACAUUUUUAUUCGUAACUAAAAUUUAGAAUCUUAUGGUGGAGAAAAGAUGGCUUUCCCAGGUUCAAGUGCCCAGGAGCCUGACGCCACAUGCCAUCUGCUGGUGUUAAGCUGUAUCGCUCGGCAGUGACUCCAGAGGGAACAAAGGGAACUCUGCUCUCCUUGGGAGGGGGAGGCUCCCACGGGCCCUCUGCUACAGGUUUUAGACCUGAACAAGUCCAGACCACGACCUUGAGAGGAAUGAGGAAAAUAAGGACUAUUUUAUUUUGGCAUGUAUCUCAAAAUUGUCAUCAUUCACAUAAAGUUCAUAACCACAAAGACAUUCCUACUUAUUUUCUCAGGUGUUAUGAAGCUUUGACAUGGGAAGAAAAUAUCACUUCUAGAGGCAUAAAUUAGGCUGAUUCAGAGUGCCCUGAUGUAUACAACAAUCCUCCUCUCAAAGAACAUGGCAUCUUCUUAAGGAACCCUGUCUCAGACCCUGUACCAGCCCAAGUGUACGCAAUCUUGUGUCCUACCCGAUGAUUUUCCCUGGGCUCCAAUCCUUGUUCACUGCCGGGGCGGGGGAGUUCAACAGCUGCCAGAUAGCAGAUAACACAACUCACACCCUUUUCCAUAGAAAAUAUCACUAAAUAGCCUUAAUUAAUGGGUGCCAAUUUUACUUUCUUCCCUCUUCCUUGUAUUAAAUUGCCUUUGUUCAAGGUUAGUUUAUUUGAGCAACAAGGACUUGGCCAUCUCACGGUGUGCAUGGUAUGGAGGCCCCUGGAAUGACCUUGUAUGGUGACAGGUUUACUCUCAGGGUUUACUCCCCACCUUUUAUGAACCAAAACACACACACACACACACACACACACGUUUCCCUCACAGGGCACACAUUCUUUUUUUUUUUUUUUUUUCGGUACGCGGGCCUCUCGCUGUUGUGGGCUCUCCCGUUGCGGAGCACAGGCUCCACGGCCACGGCUCACGGGCCCAGCCGCUCCGCGGCAUGUGGGAUCUUCCCAGACCGGGGCACGAACCUGUGUCCCCUGCAUCGGCAGGCGGACUCUCAACC
Orcinus orca (killer whale) is the source of this 2195-nucleotide long non-coding RNA. RefSeq lists it as uncharacterized. The record is from RefSeq and is a predicted model, not a curated record. NCBI's taxonomy places the organism in Eukaryota, Metazoa, Chordata, Mammalia, Artiodactyla, Delphinidae. The transcript is spliced from 6 exons.